Molecule: ribosomal RNA, 492 nt
Filed under: uncultured bacterium
Lineage: Bacteria
Description: partial 16S ribosomal RNA
Rfam family: Bacterial small subunit ribosomal RNA
Source: RNAcentral
AGUGAACGCUGGCGGUAGGCCUAACACAUGCAAGUCGAACGGCAGCACAGUAAGAGCUUGCUCUUACGGGUGGCGAGUGGCGGACGGGUGAGGAAUACAUCGGAAUCUACUUUUUCGUGGGGGAUAACGUAGGGAAACUUACGCUAAUACCGCAUACGACCUACGGGUGAAAGCAGGGGAUCUUCGGACCUUGCGCGAUUGAAUGAGCCGAUGUCGGAUUAGCUAGUUGGCGGGGUAAAGGCCCACCAAGGCGACGAUCCGUAGCUGGUCUGAGAGGAUGAUCAGCCACACUGGAACUGAGACACGGUCCAGACUCCUACGGGAGGCAGCAGUGGGGAAUAUUGGACAAUGGGCGCAAGCCUGAUCCAGCCAUACCGCGUGGGUGAAGAAGGCGUUCGGGUUGUAAAGCCCUUUUGUUGGGAAAGAAAAGCAGCAGGUUAAUACCCCGCUGUUCUGACGGUACCCGAAGAAUAAGCACCGGCUAACUUCGUG